RNAcentral lists this transfer RNA (650 nucleotides) under Bradyrhizobium sp. TUTCG1.I. Its description in RNAcentral is "partial 16S-23S ribosomal RNA intergenic spacer". The stretch from base 83 to 156 matches the Rfam family "tRNA". Lineage: Bacteria; Pseudomonadati; Pseudomonadota; Alphaproteobacteria; Hyphomicrobiales; Nitrobacteraceae. The record is from RNAcentral.
GGACGAACACGCGCCAGGGGCUGAGCGCUGUGCGAUGCAUCGACUUCACGUCGGGUGCGCGCCGGCAUGUCUCUCGUGUUAGGGGCUUGUAGCUCAGUUGGUUAGAGCGCGCGCUUGAUAAGCGUGAGGUCGGAAGUUCAAGUCUUCCCAGGCCCACCAGCCUUCGCGCUUCGCUGCUUCGGCUAGGCAGGCCUUUCAAGAUGAAGGCUGCUGCGCCGCAGCCUUGGCGAAGGCGAGCGGGUAUCAACAAUGCGCUUCGUCUUCUGGUACGGGGCCAUAGCUCAGCUGGGAGAGCGCGUGCUUUGCAAGCAUGAGGUCGUCGGUUCGAUCCCGUCUGGCUCCACCAGAUGGAAUUGAAGCUCGAGAAUACGCCUUGCUUGAGAGGCUCUGUUCAUAUCGUCCGCGAAACAUCACUUCGCACGCAUUGGUCCGGAUGGACGGUGACGUGCGUGUUUUCUGACAUCGUAAAGAGGAGAUCGAUCCGAGUUUGGAUCCAGCGAAGCAAUUCGCGGGUACCAUUCCUAAUCUCCAGAUCGUUUUCGGCGCUCGCGCAUCGUAGCUCAUCGCAAGAUGAGUGAGGUGAGCGAGUUGUAAAACGAUCUUUGUAGCGAAGCUUGACCGCCUCGCUAUCGGGCCGAUCUUACGAAGCA